This is a long non-coding RNA of Biomphalaria glabrata, 684 nucleotides long. RefSeq lists it as uncharacterized. NCBI's taxonomy places the organism in Eukaryota, Metazoa, Mollusca, Gastropoda, Planorbidae. The record is from RefSeq and is a predicted model, not a curated record. The transcript has 3 exons.
UGGCAUUGUUCUGUCAAGAUAACUAUGUCAGCUAUCUAAGCAACGCCUCAUUUGACAUGCUUCAAGACAACAGCUCGAGAAACUAUUUCUUUGAAGAACGCCCACAUCCACUACUUUGAACUACUUUACACCUACCGAACACAUCCUUGUUGGGCUUUUCUUACACUGCUGACACCAAAGUUUCGAUCCGCAGAUCUUAUUUCCACUUUUCUCUGUUUGUUUCUAGUCGACAGUUUCGGUUCUUAGAAUGAGACGAAAAAGGGAGAAAAAAAAAAGCGAGAUUACUUCAGUGUGAGAUUGGCGUCAACAGGUAGGCGUAGGCACGAGGAGACGACGUGCAGAUCAAGAAUCAUAAUCAUUAAACAGAAGAAAUCUACACGCUGGUUCUUUAAAGUCUCUGUUACACUCUGGUUGCAACAAUACAUUCACAAGAUGGACAAUAAGCUUCAUAUAUCUUUCCUAGUUUACUCAAUCAAAGUCUUGCUUUCUCAUAGUAACUGAGACCUAUCAUGUGCAGUUGAUAGAUCUAGAUCUAGUCUAUAGGGGUCUAUAUUACAGGCCUACAAGAACACAUUGAACUAGCCACAAAAAGGGGCACAACUUACAGAGGUGACGAAGUGAGUCUAGUUACGAGCAGCGACAAGAGAUGCUGGCAGAAUGGACAGUGUCCACGUUUUUGUUCUU